GGUUGUGGUUCAGUGGUGGAGUGCUCGCCUAGCACGUGGGAGGCCCUGGGUUUGAUCCUCAGCACCA
RNAcentral lists this transfer RNA (67 nucleotides) under Marmota monax (woodchuck). RNAcentral describes it as "tRNA.Ala". Lineage: Eukaryota; Metazoa; Chordata; Mammalia; Rodentia; Sciuridae. The record is from RNAcentral.